GGAGAGAUGGCUGAGUGGUUGAAAGCACCGGUCUUGAAAACCGGCAAGGGUUAAUAGCCCUUCUAGGGUUCAAAUCCCUAUCUCUCCGCCA
RNAcentral lists this transfer RNA (91 nucleotides) under Salinivibrio costicola. RNAcentral describes it as "tRNA-Ser". It matches the Rfam family "tRNA". From Rfam's summary of the family: Transfer RNA (tRNA) molecules are approximately 80 nucleotides in length. Their secondary structure includes four short double-helical elements and three loops (D, anti-codon, and T loops). The record is from RNAcentral. Lineage: Bacteria; Pseudomonadati; Pseudomonadota; Gammaproteobacteria; Vibrionales; Vibrionaceae. RNAcentral also lists the same sequence under 40 other names.